CCUUACAACAAGAGAAUUACAAUUCUCUUACAAGUGUAUACAACACUAAAACACACAAAUAAAAUACUCCUUAAUGAGUAGAUAUGAGUAAAAGACGUAAGCUCUGGAUCACAACAACAUUGGACAAGAAUAUGGCUCUCAAAAGCUUUAUGAAAUUGAAUAUAAAAUGAUAAACAAAAGUAUGCAAGCUUAUAGCAAUGUAAUNNN
This 207-nucleotide long non-coding RNA is filed under the name Nicotiana benthamiana. RNAcentral describes it as "long non-coding RNA (NBEN_LNC004278)". Lineage: Eukaryota; Viridiplantae; Streptophyta; Magnoliopsida; Solanales; Solanaceae. The record is from RNAcentral.